UUCAAUCAACCGAGGCCCACAUGCACUCCUCAUCUCUAAAUGCUUUGAAGAUGAAAAAAAUCAGAUUUUUAUUGCCAAGUUCCGCAACUUUAGCUUAGAUUUAUUAACAAGAAAAGCAUCGAUGGUGGCCUAAGGGUGGUGUCAGGUGAAAAUAGCUGACUAUUCGGCGUCGGACAUGACUGUUAUUGACUUGAAUUCAAAGAAGGUUAGUCUUUGAAACAAUUUUGGAUUUAAUUUUUUUGUUUUAAUAUGUUUUAUAUUUUAAAAUCAAAUUGAAAUUUUAUUUCAUUUUAAUCAUAGAUUGGUUUUUUUUUUUUGUUUGAAAAUGAAAAUGGGCUGAAGUGUUGGAGAACAGUUGGCAUUGUGUUGUUCAUAAAAAAAAAUGAUAUCAAAUUGUUGAUGUAUUAGAGAAGAUGCAUGUUGUUUGUUACUUUCAGAUCGUAGCUAUUUGGAUUUUUCAAGUUAAGAGCUAAUCAUAACAUAUGUGUUGGAAAUUAGUGAUUUUUAUGUGACUUCUUUGUCAAAUGAAAAUGGGUUAGCACUGUUAUGAAGAAUAUGGAUGCUAUUUGGAGGAAUUAACUUCUUAACAUGUGCUUGAACUAAAAAUACCAAUGCAUAUUAGAAAUUAGUGAAGUUAUAUGCAUUAAUAAUAUUGGAAAUAAGGGUUUGUUUGUGAUGCUUUAAAGAAGCUGAAAAGGAUAUUGCUUGUGCUCCUUAAUAUGGAGAAUUUUUAGUUGCUUGAUAAAAAAAGCAUUAGUGACAAAUAAAAUGAAGAAAUUUUGGAUGAUGUUUGUGUACAAGAUUUAAAUUAUUUGUUUUAUUGAAGCUGUACUGUGUUUUUAUUUGUGAUUUAACCAUUAAAACGGCUCUGUAACAUUGAUUAGAGGCUGCAUGUGCUCUUUUUAUAAAAAAAGAAGUAGUGGCAUUCCUAAGUGGAGUAAUGAGAUGCUAAGAUGGGAAUGUAUGAAUAUUUAAUUUUGUUCUUGCUUUAAACUAUGACUAUAAAUCCUAAGUCUUCUAAAAUGAAACUCAAUUAUGCUUUUAAGAUGUAAAAAGGCAUCAUUGCCAUUUUUAAGUGACUUUGAUAAUGCUUCAAAUGGAAGUUCGCAUUGGUUUGUCAAAAUCUUUUGUUAAGCAGGGUGAAAUGAUUCAAUUUGCAUUGAAUAUGCGAAAGUUUCUAAGCGAAUAACUUGUGGUCUCAUGUUAUUUUUUUUCAGAUGAUGCUCUAGUGGAGGUCGAAAAGGAAAAGAGAGUCUUUGUUAAAAAAAAAAAAAGCAGGGAACAAAUAUGCCUUUCUAUAAUUGUCUUCCUUUUAACAUGUAUGUCAUGAUUGGUGUGCAUAAAUGACCUUUAUUGACUAAAUAAUAUAAUCAUGAACAAGUAAAAAUAUAAUUUUUUUUAGUACUUUUCCUACUGAUCAUAUGUGAAUUGAAUCAAUUGUGUUGAAAAUGUUGAUCAAGGCAAAAAAGCUCUCAGCCUUUGCUACAUUCGAAAAUAGCAAGAAGGAAUUUUGUAAGCCCAACUGAAAAAGAUUGAGGUAACCUGUCUCUUCUUAUUCUAGAUUCUUUUUUUUUUCUUUGUUUUACUUCCCAUUUCAUCUUCAGCAAAUCUAGUAAUUGGAAGGAAAUAAUUGGAAGGAAAGAAGGCUGAAUAUGCUGAAAAUAUGAAAAAUAAGGCAGCUAUACGU
This 1687-nucleotide long non-coding RNA is filed under the name Citrus maxima (pomelo). Its description in RNAcentral is "long non-coding RNA (CMAX_LNC000311)". Lineage: Eukaryota; Viridiplantae; Streptophyta; Magnoliopsida; Sapindales; Rutaceae. The record is from RNAcentral.